CAGCCGCCGCGGUAAUACGAAGGGUGCAAGCGUUAAUCGGAAUUACUGGGCGUAAAGCGUGCGUAGGCGGUUUGUUAAGUCUGCUGUGAAAUCCCCGGGCUCAACCUGGGAAUGGCAGUGGAUACUGGCAAGCUAGAGUGUGUCAGAGGAUGGUGGAAUUCCCGGUGUAGCGGUGAAAUGCGUAGAGAUCGGGAGGAACAUCAGCGGCGAAGGCGGCCAUCUGGGACAACACUGACGCUGAGGCACGAAAGCGUGGGGAGCAAACAGGAUUAGAUACCCCAGUAGUCCCUGUCUCUUAUAC
RNAcentral lists this ribosomal RNA (301 nucleotides) under uncultured bacterium. RNAcentral describes it as "partial 16S ribosomal RNA". It matches the Rfam family "Bacterial small subunit ribosomal RNA", at positions 509 to 807 of the family's 1533-position model. The record is from RNAcentral.